This 433-nucleotide ribosomal RNA is filed under the name uncultured bacterium. RNAcentral describes it as "partial 16S ribosomal RNA". It matches the Rfam family "Bacterial small subunit ribosomal RNA", at positions 29 to 507 of the family's 1533-position model. The record is from RNAcentral.
AACGAACGCUGGCGGCAUGCCUAACACAUGCAAGUCGAACGAGACCUUCGGGUCUAGUGGCGCACGGGUGCGUAACGCGUGGGAACCUGCCCUUAGGUUCGGAAUAACUCCCCGAAAGGGGUCCUAAUACCGGAUAAUGUCUUCGGACCAAAGAUUUAUCGCCUUUGGAUGGGCCCGCGUUGGAUUAGCUAGUUGGUAGGGUAAAAGCCUACCAAGGCGACGAUCCAUAGCUGGUCUGAGAGGAUGAUCAGCCACACUGGGACUGAGACACGGCCCAGACUCCUACGGGAGGCAGCAGUGGGGAAUAUUGGACAAUGGGCGAAAGCCUGAUACAGCAAUGCCGCGUGAGUGAUGAAGGCCUUAGGGUUGUAAAGCUCUUUUACCCGGGAUGAUAAUGACAGUACCGGGAGAAUAAGCUCCGGCUAACUCCGUG